RNAcentral lists this unclassified non-coding RNA (331 nucleotides) under soil metagenome. Its description in RNAcentral is "partial contains 5.8S ribosomal RNA, internal transcribed spacer 2, and large subunit ribosomal RNA". The stretch from base 1 to 120 matches the Rfam family "5.8S ribosomal RNA", at positions 35 to 154 of the family's 154-position model. The record is from RNAcentral.
GAUGAAGAACGUAGCGAAAUGCGAUAAGUAAUGUGAAUUGCAGAAUUCAGUGAAUCAUCGAAUCUUUGAACGCACAUUGCGCCCCCUGGUAUUCCGGGGGGCAUGCCUGUUCGAGCGUCAUUUCACCACUCAAGCCUCGCUUGGUAUUGGGCAUCGCGGUCCGCCGCGUGCCUCAAAUCGACCGGCUGGGUCUUCUGUCCCCUAAGCGUUGUGGAAACUAUUCGCUAAAGGGUGUUCGGGAAGCUACGCCGUAAAACAACCCCAUUUCUAAGGUUGACCUCGGAUCAGGUAGGGAUACCCGCUGAACUUAAGAAUAUCAAUAAGCGGAGGA